AGUAAUUAAUAGCGUCAUACGUUUAUUUUCACGAAGUAAAAUGAGCUAAAAGAAUUUGUAUAUUAGUACGUAAGAUUAUAUGUAGCAACAUAUAAUUAUUAUCUUCUUUUAGGGGUGAUAUGCCUAUCAAGUUUUACGAUAACUUGCUGUGUAGGAAAAAUAUUGAGUAUGUAGUCAAUUUAAAAAUGCUAAGGUUUUUAAACAACACAAUAGGACAUAAUUAAUUAGCAUAUUAUUUAAUUGUACAUGCUUCCCGUUAUAUAUAAUUUUAUUGCAGUAACAUGUGUGUAAUACUACAUUAUAAUUUUUACUUACUUAUAUUAUUAAUAAUGUUACUAUUAGUAUUAUAAUAGAUUUUGUUAAGGAACUCGGCAAAGAUGUUAUUCAACUGUUUACCAAAAACAUUGCCUUGCGCAAGUAUUCAAGGUUAACCCUGCUCAAUGGUAUCUAAAUAGCCGCAGUACUUUGACUGUGCAAAGGUAGCAUAAUCAUUUGGCUUAUAAUUGAAGUCUAGUAUGAAUGGGUAUCUGGAUAAUAACUAUCUUUACAUAAUAAAUUGAAUUUACUUAUUAAGUGAAAAUUCUUAUGUAAUAAUAAUAGACGAGAAGACCCUAGAAAUUUUUUACAUGUAUAUUAAGAUAUUCUAUUUUGUUGGGGCGACAGGGUAGCACAUAACCUACCUAUAAUAAUAAAAAAUUAUUUAAAGAUAUAAUUAAAUUACUCUAGGGAUAACAGCAUAAUACAAUAGAGUUUGUGACCUCGAUGUUGGACUAGGUAAAUUAACGUUUAGAAGAUGUUACUUUAGGCUCUGUUCGAGCUACCCCACCUACAUGAUCUGAGUUCAGACCGG
RNAcentral lists this ribosomal RNA (850 nucleotides) under Satiella membranacea. Its description in RNAcentral is "partial 16S ribosomal RNA". The record is from RNAcentral. Lineage: Eukaryota; Metazoa; Mollusca; Gastropoda; Stylommatophora; Helicarionidae.